RNAcentral lists this ribosomal RNA (716 nucleotides) under Cystobacter sp. 42-heh-1. RNAcentral's name for it is "bacterial SSU rRNA". It matches the Rfam family "Bacterial small subunit ribosomal RNA", at positions 67 to 767 of the family's 1533-position model. Lineage: Bacteria; Pseudomonadati; Myxococcota; Myxococcia; Myxococcales; Archangiaceae. The record is from RNAcentral.
CGAAUGGAGCAAUCCUAGUAGAGCGGCGCACGGGUGCGUAACACGUGGAUAAUCUGCCUGGGUGUCUGGGAUAACCAGUCGAAAGAUUGGCUAAUACCGGAUAAGCCCCCGGGAGCUUCGGCUCUUGAGGGAAAAGGUGGCCUCUGUAUACAAGCUAUCACAUCCAGAUGAGUCCGCGGCCCAUCAGCUAGUUGGCGGGGUAAUGGCCCACCAAGGCAACGACGGGUAGCUGGUCUGAGAGGACGAUCAGCCACACUGGAACUGAGACACGGUCCAGACUCCUACGGGAGGCAGCAGUGGGGAAUUUUGCGCAAUGGGCGAAAGCCUGACGCAGCAACGCCGCGUGUGUGAUGAAGGUCUUCGGAUUGUAAAGCACUUUCGACCGGGACGAAAACCCGUUGGCUAACAUCCAACGGCUUGACGGUACCGGGAGAAGAAGCACCGGCUAACUCUGUGCCAGCAGCCGCGGUAAUACAGAGGGUGCAAGCGUUGUUCGGAAUUAUUGGGCGUAAAGCGCGUGUAGGCGGCUUUGCAAGUCGGGUGUGAAAGCCCUCAGCUCAACUGAGGAAGUGCGCCCGAAACUGCAGAGCUUGAGUGCCGGAGAGGGUGGCGGAAUUCCCCAAGUAGAGGUGAAAUUCGUAGAUAUGGGGAGGAACACCGGUGGCGAAUGCGGCCACCUGGACGGUAACUGACGCUGAGACGCGAAAGCGUGUGGA